GAACGAACGCUGGCGGCAGGCCUAACACAUGCAAGUCGAGCGCCCGGAUUUAUCCGGGAGCGGCGCACGGGUGAGUAACGCGUGGGAACAUGCCCUGAAGUACGGAACAACCUGGGGAAACCUUGGCUAAUACCGUAUACGCCCUGAGGGGGAAAGAUUUAUCGCUUUGGGAUUGGCCCGCGUUGGAUUAGCUAGUUGGUGUGGUAACGGCGCACCAAGGCGACGAUCCAUAACUGGUCUGAGAGGAUGACCAGUCACACUGGGACUGAGACACGGCCCAGACUCCUACGGGAGGCAGCAGUGGGGAAUAUUGGACAAUGGGCGAAAGCCUGAUCCAGCCAUGCCGCGUGAGUGAAGAAGGCCUUCGGGUUGUAAAGCUCUUUCAGCGGGGACGAUGAUGACGGUACCCGCAGAAGAAGCCCCGGCUAACUUCGU
This 435-nucleotide ribosomal RNA is filed under the name Rhizobiales bacterium 'ARUP UnID 156'. RNAcentral describes it as "bacterial SSU rRNA". It matches the Rfam family "Bacterial small subunit ribosomal RNA", at positions 27 to 506 of the family's 1533-position model. The record is from RNAcentral. Lineage: Bacteria; Pseudomonadati; Pseudomonadota; Alphaproteobacteria; Hyphomicrobiales.